AGAGUUUGAUCCUGGCUCAGGAUGAACGCUGGCGGCAUGCCUAAGACAUGCAAGUCGAACGCACUAGUUUACUAGUGAGUGGCGAACGGGUGAGUAACACGUAAGUAAUCUGUCCUAAAGACGAGGAUAACCACUGGAAACGGUGGCUAAUACUGGAUAGGAUGCGGAGGCAAAAGUCACCGCAUUUAAAGGUGCUGAAAGGGACCGCUAUAGGGUGAGCUUGCGGCGCAUUAGAUAGUUGGCGGGGUAACGGCCCACCAAGUCGACGAUGCGUAGCUGAGCUGAGAGGCUGAACAGCCACACUGGGACUGAGACACGGCCCAGACUCCUACGGGAGGCAGCAGUUAGGAAUUUUCGGCAAUGGACGAAAGUCUGACCGAGCAAUGCCGCGUGAAUGAAGAAGGUCUUCGGAUUGUAAAGUUCUGUUAUCGGGAAAGAACACCAUGUGUAGGAAAUGACAGAUGGCUGACGGUACCCGAUGAGAAAGCCCCGGCUAACUACGUGCCAGCAGCCGCGGUAAUACGUAGCGGGCAAGCGUUAUCCGGAAUUAUUGGGCGUAAAGAGUGCGUAGGCGGUUUAUUAAGUCAGUCGUAAAAGAUCAUAGCCCAACUGUGUAGGGCGAUUGAAACUGAUAGACUUGAGUAUGGUAGAGGUAAGUGGAAUUCCAUGUGUAGCGGUGGAAUGCGUAGAUAUAUGGAGGAACACCAAUGGCGAAGGCAGCUUACUGGGCCAGAACUGACGCUGAGGCACGAAAGCGUGGGGAGCAAACAGGAUUAGGUACCCUGGUAGUCCACGCCGUAAACGAUGAGAACUGAGUGUUGGAGUGAAAUUCAGUGCUGAAGUUAACGCAUUAAGUUCUCCGCCUGGGUAGUACGGUCGCAAGACUGGAACUCAAAGGAAUUGACGGGAACCCGCACAAGCGGUGUAGUAUGUUGUUUAAUUCGAAGAUACACGAAGAACCUUACCAGGUCUUGACAUACCAUUGACGGGUGCAGAGAUGCACCGUUCCUUCGGGACAAUGGAUACAGGUGGUGCAUGGUUGUCGUCAGCUCGUGCCGUGAGGUGUUGGGUUAAGUCCCGCAGCGAGCGCAACCCUUAUUGCUAGUUACUAACAUUAAGUUGAGGACUCUAGUGAGACUGCCAGUGACAAACUGGAGGAAGGUGUGGAUGACGUCAAAUCAUCAUGCCCUUUAUGACCUGGGCUACAAACGUACUACAAUGGCCGAUACAAAGAGAAGCGAAGCGGUGACGUGGAGCAAACCUCAUAAAAACGGUCUCAGUUCAGAUUGAAGUCUGCAACUCGACUUCAUGAAGGCGGAAUCGCUAGUAAUCGCGAGUCAGCAGAUCGCGGUGAAUAUGUUCCCGGGUUUUGCACACACCGCCCGUUCA
RNAcentral lists this ribosomal RNA (1389 nucleotides) under uncultured bacterium. Its description in RNAcentral is "bacterial SSU rRNA". It matches the Rfam family "Bacterial small subunit ribosomal RNA". The record is from RNAcentral.